RNAcentral lists this long non-coding RNA (469 nucleotides) under Felis catus (domestic cat). Its description in RNAcentral is "lncRNA (ENSFCAG00000050738.1)". Lineage: Eukaryota; Metazoa; Chordata; Mammalia; Carnivora; Felidae. The record is from RNAcentral.
AUGCUGGAGAGAAGCAGACACUGUGCUACCCACUUACCUAUGUGCCUGGUGAAUCUACUGUCAACUGUUGAAAGCAGUAACUGGCCCCUAACAUCACCACAUCCAAAGGCCAUGAAAGAGCGAAAUCUGUCUAGUAGACCGUUGAACUCCCAGGCCUCUAUUCUGAAGUCUCAUGGGAGCCGUUCUGUUUAAGUUCACUGCACCUGAUCCCAAGGAGCUCAAGGAGCUUGCCAAGGGACUGGUUUCUGUCAUGACUGUUCCAGAGCACUAAGGGGACCCUACAUACUCUAGAUGCCUGGGAGCCACUGAGAAAGAAAUCUGGGAGAAUUGAUGCUGCUCAAGUGUUCCUAAAUCAACAAACUUGAAAACACCAACAAGGCAUAGUCUAAAAAGGUAAUUGACAAAGUAAUCCCAUUACAAUAGCAUCAAAAAUAAUAAAAUACCUAGGAGUGAACUUAUGAAGGAGAUG